This is a small nuclear RNA of Trichechus manatus latirostris (Florida manatee), 107 nucleotides long. The record is from RefSeq and is a predicted model, not a curated record. Lineage: Eukaryota; Metazoa; Chordata; Mammalia; Sirenia; Trichechidae.
GUGCUCACUUCAGCAGCACAUAUAUUAAAAUUGGAACGAUGCAGAGAAGAUUAGCGUGGCCCCUGCACAAGGAUGACACAUAAAUUUACAAAGCAUCCCAUAUUAAA